RNAcentral lists this ribosomal RNA (495 nucleotides) under uncultured bacterium. RNAcentral describes it as "bacterial SSU rRNA". It matches the Rfam family "Bacterial small subunit ribosomal RNA", at positions 29 to 518 of the family's 1533-position model. The record is from RNAcentral.
AUGAACGCUAGCGGCAGGCUUAACACAUGCAAGUCGAGGGGCAUCGGGAGUAGCAAUACUUGCCGGCGACCGGCGCAAGGGUGCGUAACGCGUGAGCAACAUGCCCGUAUCAGGGGGAUAAUCCAUGGAAACGUGGUCUAAUACCCCAUAGUAAUUAUGUAAGGCAUCUUAUAUAAUUUAAAGCUUUGGUGGAUACGGAUUGGCUCGCGUGACAUUAGCUGGAUGGUAAGGUAACGGCUUACCAUGGCUACGAUGUCUAGGGGUUCUGAGAGGAAGGUCCCCCACACUGGAACUGAGACACGGUCCAGACUCCUACGGGAGGCAGCAGUGAGGAAUAUUGGACAAUGGAUGGAAAUCUGAUCCAGCCAUGCCGCGUGCAAGGAAGACGGCCCUAUGGGUUGUAAACUGCUUUUGUAUGGGAGCAAUAAGGGCUACGUGUAGUCCGAUGAGAGUACCAUACGAAUAAGCACCGGCUAACUCCGUGCCAGCAGCAGC